GGGGGGGGGGGGGUAGUAUAAGAUAAUACACCUAGAGAAUAUUUUGAUAACAAUAAUAGAAUCUUCUAGAAGGGGGUGCCCGGUUAAUUUGAAUGAUAAAACUUGGUCCAGAUGUCAAAAUAAAGGACUAAAAUGAAAAAGGCAACUCUUCUUGCCUUAGAAAUGAGGACUUUAGGCAGCAAAAUUCUGAAAAGAGAGACUAGAAAGAUCAGAAAAAGAAUAGGAAAAAAUACAGCUAAAAUAAUAUUGUUCAAUUAAAAUUUUUCUGAGAUCCCGGAGAUUUUCUUGGUUAAAACGAAUCUUUAAAUAUUUAGAAGCUAAAAAAGAGUUGAACUUGGUUUGAUAUUCAAGUAUUUGGGUUAGCUUUUGUUUGGAUUUUGAUGUUGGGUUUAACUGAUACAUUUGUGGUUCAAGUUUGGGUUUUAAGUUGAUCUUCCUCCGUUAUUCCUGGGCUAUUUAGCCGCUGAAACAUUGUCCCUGCUACUACUGCUACUAAACCUGCCGUCUCACUUCUUCUUUGUUUCUCUCUUCUUCCAGGUACCAAUUUUCUGAUUCAUUCAUGAUGUAAAGGUUGAUUUAAGGAUGAAGUGGAAGCACCAUUUUUACUUUAGUUCUUUGUUUCCUUGACUGAUGUUCAUGUUCCUUCAUUUACUCAUAGUAUAGUCUUAGUUGACUUCCAUUUAAGUAGUCAAAUUCUCAUGCUGUAAUUAAUCGUGGAUUGUAAAAACUGUGAUAUGUUUGGAUUUCAUUGGCUAUUUAGCUUUAGUUUAUAAGUCAAAUUUGCAAUCCAUGUUAUCUGAAUCUAAAAACAAUUUGGGAAUAAUUAGACUCUAUUACUGUCUAAUCAAGUUCUUAUGCUGUAAUUAAUCGUGGACUGUGGAGACAUGUGAUGUGUUUGGAUUUCUUUGGUUGUUUAGCUUUAAUGUUAUAAAUCAAAUUUGCAAUCCUUGUUAUCUGAAUGUAAAUUUGGGAAUAGUUAGACUCUAUUGCUGUUUGGUAUGCGUAAGCUUGAUAUUUAUGUAGCUGUUGGUAUUGUGUGACUGAGCCUUUAUUAUGGUGUUCGCUUCUUAUUAGCCCUAAAUGUUUCUUGUUAUGAAUCUCUGCUAGGAGUACCUGUAUAAAUAUAUUACAUUCCUUGUUCUUGAUUGACAAAGAGAAGUAAACCAUACUGUUUUCUUGUUGUUUCCUCUAAGACAUACUUUUGUUAAAUCGCGCUUGUAUGGUAGCCAGGUUCUUUUGAGUUUGGCGAUUGAAACAUGCCCAUAUCUGAAUUAUUUGUUGGAAAUCUUAUUUUCUGCUAUCAUAUGGAGCUGUAGCAUAGGUUGCAUUCAUUUGGUUGCUUUUUGUCUGUCGAUUCAGUUAUCUUAUUCUUGUUAUAGUCAACUUUGGACUCGGCAAAUAUAGUGGUCAUAACUUGUGUCAAAUGUUUGCCGGGAUAUAAGAAUUGGAAAUGUGCCUAGCCCAUUAACAAUGAAUCACCUACAUCCUUAGACCUUUGGCUUGGUCAAGUGCAACGAAACUCUUCAACAAAAGUACCUCAUGGAUUCAGGCUUCUUCACUCAUAAUCAUUAGUUUACCAACACCCAUAGCUUUAUAAAUUUUAAUCGAAUCCCUUUUGCAAAUAUAGUCAAGGUGUGCCAACGCCAAAUGAAAUUGAAUAAUUGCAUUGCAUAAUCAAAUUCGAACCCUUAAAAUUGGAGAUGUACCACCUAGUGAAUUUUCGUGGCCCUCGCAAAUUUAAACAUACGAAAUUGCUUUAGGCGCGGUAGUUAGAUAAUCUACUUUCCUAAAUAUGGGUGCGCAUUUAUGUGACCCAAAUUUAAAUCCCAACGAUGUUGAAAUAUGUCAAAGACUACAUGUGCAUUUAUGUGACGUUGUUCAAGACACGUUUUAAAAGCUAAUCAAAGCUAAAUAAAAGCGGUUAAAAGUUAAAAUUUGCACAUAAGUACAAUAAUGCAUUAAAAUAAGAUAAUCGAGCCGAAUAUAAUAGUUGAGUGACCGUGCUAGAACCACAGAAUUCGGGAGUGCCUAACACCUUCUCCUGGGUCAAUAGAAUUCCUUACUAGGAUUUCUGGCUCGCAGACUGUACAUAGAGUCAAACUUUCCUCGAUUCGGGAUUUAAGCCGGUGACUUGGGACACCAUUAAUUAUCCCAAGUGGCAACUCUGAAAUCUCUAAAUAAAUAAAUCACGUUUCGGGUUCCUUUAAUUGGAAAAACUCCCUUAGCUACGCUCUUCGCCAGGGUUGUAGUGGGUAAAAAGGAGGCGUGACAGAUCUGGCGACUCUGCUGGGGAAUCAAACCCAAAAUCUCUGGUUAGGGUUCAAGAAUUCAAGCUUUAUAUAAUUAUUGUAUCUGGCUUUAUUAUUAUCUGAUUUUAUUACAUAAUUGUGCGCAAUGUGCUAAAUGUUAUUUUUACCGCUCUAAUAUUAUUUGAACUGUAUAUAAAGUGAUGCGAAACCUUUCUCUUAUCAUCUUUGGGAUGUGCUCGCUGGUCAAGACUCCCUAUUCUAAUACUGUCAUACCUUGAAAUAAGAGACAGGCCGGGCAAGUUACAAAGACGGAUUGCCUUUUGGUUCCCGGUACGUAGUCCCCUCAUUGACUCGAGUUGUCCGCACGGGGUACACAGUCUAGAACAUAUACCCAGGAUUUGAAGCUAGAAUAACUUAACCUCAUGCCGGUGCCUUAGUAAGAAUGCUUACAUGCAUCAUGCAUUUAAAUUAGGGGACUCAACACAGGGGUUGUGUUCGUCUAGGACAGGUGCACCCAAAAUGAUGGACCAUCUUGAUGCAUUUUACCGUGCUACUUGUGUAUUUAUUCCGGAUUUGCAUGCCGAUCGGCUUUUUAAAAAAAAAGAAAAAAGAGAGAAAAAGGAGAAUUUGACAAGUGUGUGGGAUGAGGAAGGGAUUUACCUAGUUAAACAGCCGAUACUGAAAUGGUGUCGAAAUUUUGAAAACACAACCAAAAAAAAAAGGAAAAGAGUUUGUUUUCGGAAAAUGCAAAAAAGAGAGAUGGAUUUUAUUUUUCGAAAAAAAAGAAAAAGAAAACAAAAGUUGGUUUUUAAUUUUGUCAAGAUAUCCCGAACUAUGCCAGUUUGAUUCACAUAGGGAGAUACGUAUGCAACCGCCAUCGGGCCCAACUUUAUUAUUGCAAAAAUAGCCAAAAGAACUAGAUUUUGUUUGUGAAUAAUAAAUAACGCAGUUUUGUCAAAAUUCGCCGAGUGUCCUAAAAGGGUGUCGGGAGGCUGUUUUUGCAAGAACAGCCACCUUGAAUUAUUUUCUAAAUUGUGGCAGGUAGCAGGCACAACCUUAAAAUCUUCCAUGAAACUGCUGAAAGGCAGGGUUUGCGAUGCCUGGAUUUUAAUUUUGAAAUGAAAAUUUGGAAAAAAUCAAUUUUGUCUUUGAGUCCAAUAAAUCAUGAUUUUUGCUUAAUCACCCUAAUAAUUGUGCAGAAUGAGUACGAAUCAAAAUUUUCCAAUCUCAGUCAUGAACAAGAUCCCUAUGGAGGUACACACAUGUGGUGGAAUGAUCUAGGUGAAUCGGGCAAAACAAGGUCAAUAAGCACUUGGGAGGACUUACUGGGUUACUGAAAAAGAGGAUGUCAUAAAGGCGUUAGUUACAUUCUGGGACUCUGCCCAUAACGUAUUUUAUUUCCCGGACUUUGAACUCACUCCGACCCUGGAAGAAAUAACUGGAUAUAUCGGGGUUCCCAAAAUUCCUCUAAGACAUCAGUAUCUGAUUGCGCCAAGGGCAGUUGCUCUGCACAAAUUCUUGGACUCACUAAAGAUAACCAGGGGGGUUACACAAUCCAGACCUGUCAGUAGGUUUUUGUACCCCACAGUUUAUGUACCAAAAGUAUGGGCAUAUAGGGGGUUUAAUGACCCAGAAAAUAAAAUUUGUAGCAACGGAAAUCGACUCAAGUGGGAGGAACAAUAGUGUUUCGCAUUUAUGAUAUUCUUCUUGGACCUCAUGGUGUUUCCUUGGAAGGACGAGAAUAUUGACAUACGGGUAGCAAGGGUUGUCAGUACUUUGAUCACCCAAGCCUAGAGCACCCUCGCACCCAUGGUAUUAGCUGAACAUUUCCGUGCCCUCACAACAUGUAAAGCCGAAGGGGAUUUAUUUGAAGGAUGAAAUCUAUUGUUCUAGAUAUGGAUGGUUGAACACUUGUGCCAUCGAUCUCAAUUCAUGAGUUAUGGGUCAUCAGAAAGGGGCCGCAUCGAGGAAUUUUACACCAGAGUUGAUGGGUCCAGAUUACCAUAGGGGGUCACAGAAUGGGUACCAUAUCUCCGUGCCAUAAGUGCAAUUCAAAUAGAGUGGACAUUCGGGUGGCUCCCCAUUGAUGAAAUUAUAUAUAUGCCAGCUACUGGGCCUCAUUUCCUUCUGAUGGGUUUCCGGAGUAUCCAACCAUAUACUCCAUACAGAUUGCUAAGACAUUUAGAGAGGUGCCAGAUGAUUCCCAAGGAUGAAGACAUUAGUUGCCAUGUGGUCGAGAUUGGUCCCAAUAGUCAGUUUCCCAAAGCAGUAGUCCAUCAAAUUUGGAGCGAAUGUCAGUACUUGACGGUGGAGACUCGAGUACGAGACUUAUCCAAAGGCCAGGUUGCACCAGAGUACCUUUCUUGGUAUAAGAAGGAAAUAGAGUUCGGAAGCCGGCUAAGAGGCCACAUCUUCAGGAGUUUGCUGAGGCGUCACAAGAAUAAUGGAAUUGGUUAGCCAAAGAAAACGAAUACAUGGCCACAAUAGGGACAUUGGAAAAACAAGCCAAAGACCUUCAAUUCGAGAAUGGUUUGCAAGUUGUGGUAGACGAGGGAGAAAAGAAAAGACUAGCCAAAGAAAAUGAAGCUUUGCGAUCCCAAAUUCAAAAAUGAAAAUGGUCGCAGAGAAUCCUGCAAGAAGUGUGAAGGAUGAAAAGCUUAUAGACAACUUGAGGCAGAAAGUAGGAGAAUAUGGUUUUGACUUGAACAAAACAGAGGGUGAACUGUCUAGAGCCCGGAAACAAUUGGCCAGAAAUGUAGAAGAAUGGGCACGUAUGAUUGAACAAUUAAGAGAAAGGUAUGACAACGAGAUUGCGGGGAUGAAGAAGAGGGUCAUCUUGGUUGAAAACAAAAUGGUCAAACAAGCGAGGGACGUUAAGGCUGAAAGAGAACAUUGUUACACAGUAGCAUGGUUGGAAAGAGAUUUGUGACCAUUCCAAGAUCUGAAUCAUGCAGCCGAACAAAAUUUGGAGGCCAGGGCCCAGCAAAUUGGGCGAUUGCUGCAAGAAAAGCGUGCUAUAAGAGAGAGCAUACGGAUCGUCGCUAAUUACAUCACCGUAAAGUGUAGCCACUCUGAAGAUAUGACAAGAUCUAUGUUCUUUUCCACUGCCAUGACCUUUUGUUCUUCAAGUGAUGGAAGACCUCUACCACCUCCAAGGGAAUUUAGCACACAGGUCUGCAGCAAGACCGAAUGAUGUCCCGCAGGCCCCAGGAGCAUUAGAGGCUUUAAUGUAUUCAUGAUUUUCAAAUUUGUUGGUCCAUUUGAUAGUCUGUAUUUUCUUUUAUUUGAGUUUGUAGUAGGUUGUCAAGUCAGUUAUUUUCAUUUAAAGUAAGAUUCUACUGUUUUUGGUUAAGUUGGAGUCUGUUGAUUUCUUUUAGUAGUUGUAAUCAAGUGUUUUACUUUAUGAAAAUUGAAAAAUUUCCAAAAUAUUUAUUGUAUUUAUUCGCCAGAAUUACGCUCGAUCUGAUUCAUGCGGGGUCAUGAUACGUAGGCAAUCUCCAUAGGAUUCGACCAUAACCAAUAUAAGAAAAAGAAAGAAAAAAAUGAAAGGAAAAUCACGAGAGAAAUAACGGUAAAAUAAAGGAGAGAAUAAUAAAAGAAGGUAGGCAAAGACAAGUUGAGCUAAAGGAAAGGGGAAGAAGAAAAGAAAACAAGAGAGAAAAGAAAAGUGGCAUAGGAUAAAAGCCGAGAUGAUGCAAGUAGCCAAUUUAGUUCAUAAUAGAAGCCGAUAACUGUGGCUAGGUAAAUUGCACAUAAAGUUAAAUUAUAUUAUGUUAAAUGCCCUAACGCUAACGUGAUGGCUUCAUUUUGUUGUGUUCAUAGCAGAAGGGUGGUUUGUUUGUGGUUUUUAAAGUGGUAACUGUUCGCUACAACAUAAAGUCAAAAACAAUGGCAGACAAUAUUAGAACUGAGUUAGUUGACACCGGUGCCAUAAUGUAGUUGGUCUAAUGGGACAACGGGUUGGUUGAAGAGGUGCGGAUGUUAAGACUACACAUGACGAACAUGUAUCAUGCCUGGACGACCAGGAAGGCACUGCCCCUGCCACCACCUGGCUUCUUAGAUGUUCUCUUUGCCCAAACUCUAGACUUUUCCAGUCACCCCAGUAGCUCCAUCGCUCAUCACAAUGAAUACUCACUCAAAUCUCAUGAUGCCCAAUAUUACCCCUCAAAGGUUGCCCAUGACAAGAACCUUCACGAUAAGCUUCAUGUUGAAAAUGAAAAGGUUACAGGAAAAGAAGGGCGGGAUGAGAUAUCUGGGAAGCUGAAAAGCACAGAACAGUCAUCAAAGAACAUGCUAGGGAUAGGAGACCAGGGUAGCAUGUAUUACAAAGAACUGUCAGUGUCCCUGACAUUCGUCUGCCCACAGGAUUUAAAGUACCAACAUUUCACAUGUAUGAUGGGUGUGGAGAUCUUGUAGCCCACUUGAACCAGGGUAGCAUGAAUUACAAUGAACUGUUAGUGAUCCCUGACAUUCGUCUACCCACGAGAUUUAAAGUUCCAUAAUUUAACUUGUAUGAUGGGUGUGGAGAUUCGGUAGCCCACUUGAAGGUUUAUUGCAACAAAAUAAGAAGUAUUAUAGAGAAAGAUGACUUGUUGAUGGCAUAUUUUCAUAAGAGCUUGAUUGGGGUAGCUUUGGAAUGGCAAAAUCGUCAAGAUGUCGGUAAAUGGCAUACAUGGGAUGACAUGGCGCAAGAUUUUGUGCUAUAAUUUCAGCACGAUAUAGGUAUUAUCCUAGGCCACUCCUCCCUACCUCAUAUGGAAAAUAAACCUAUGGAAAGAUUUAGGGAUCUUUGGAUCAGGUGGAACAAACAAGUUGUUCGGGAUAGAAAAGAUGUUGUUGAGCCCCGCCGAUGACAGGGUCCAGUGGUCGUUCUUGCUAAACGCUUUUGGCCUCGAUAGCAGCCCCAUGGAUAUAUUUGUGCACCACAUGACCCUACCCAAUGCUAUUUUUCUCCAUAGAACCCUCGAAGUCGUGCACCACUUUCCCAGUACCCUGUCCGUAAUGCACCACCAUAUGCUCCACACUCACGAGGCACGAGAUGGCCCACACCAAUUUCCCAAAUGUCUUUCCCUCCCCCUCAGGCAUCUCAACUACCUGCCCACAAAGAUUCUAACCAAGUAUAGAGUAUAUAAUGAAAAGACUACUGAAAAAAGAAAAUGCUUUCAUGCCCAUCGGUGAAUCCUAUACAAGUUUGUUCGAAAAGUUAAAGCAUGCUGGCCUAAUUAAGCCACUCCUUGGUUAUGCUCCAGACCUAUUUGCAAAAGGCUUUGAUCCUGCUGUUUGAUGCAUGUACCACUCUAAUGUCAGGGGCAUAACAUGAAGGAUUGUUGUUCUUUGAAAAGGGAAAUAGAAAUAAUGAUUCAAGAAGGGGUAGUUGUUGUCAACGACAGUGAUAUGAGCGUAUGAAUCUUCUCAAGAACUUGGUAGUUAAAGCUAAUAAUAGGCUUGGAAAAAUUGAUGCAAAACUCAGUGGCUUAAUGCCAUGCUUGGUAAUUGGAAAGGCACUCCAUUUCUUGAUCAGCGAAAGUGGAGUUUUUGGUGGUUCAUUUUGUUGUCAUUUAUGCUAUCCAGGUUAUUGCAGGGUUGUAAUCCUGAUAUUUUCUUGUGACUGAAACCCUUAUAUCCUUUUAUGUUUCCUAGUUUGUUUAGUCGUAGUAGUGUUGUUUAGGAUUGUUCUAGGUUUGUAACUCCAGUUUAGUUUGCUUGUUUUUUGUCCAAACCCUUUUACCGUCUGUCUAAUGCAAUUUUCUAUUUUCUAUAAUUUCUAGUCAUUUUUCCUUAAUUCUCUUUUCUUUAUAGUCCUUUUCCUAUUGAAUUUAGUGACAUGAUAUGCAUGCAAAAUCCGAGACCCGGUCUUAAAAGAUUACUCAUAAAGCAAUGAAGCAACUUUGAAGGAAAUAAGUACACAAUUUUGAGAUCAUUUGAAGCCCAAUCUGUGCGAAACUGGGGUAGAUAAUUAUGAGAUUGCUACAAGACUGAAUUAUGUUAAACUGAGACAAGUAGAACAUAGAGAAACACUAUUGAAAUACUCCAUGCUUCACCGAGUUGAAACUAACGACAAGUUUGCCCUAAAUUGGUAGGGGGCGUUCGUGGUAUUGAGAGUGAAGGUAUUGUCCAAUGGUGUUACGAACAGUAUUCUAUAGUCUUUUUAAUUGGAUUACUUGUACUUGGUAUAUUUUGAAGGUUGGAAUGACGAAGACAUUUUCUUCUGCUAUCUAAACACUUUAUUCUUUGUUAACUCUUUUGAGCUUUAAUUGUUUUCUUCACACCCCCAUUUCGAAAUUAGCAGCAAAAUCAGAAACGCAAGUAUGAGAAAUGAGCAAAGGGAAAAAAAGGAGAGAAUGAAAAAAAAGAGAAAAAAGACGGGAGAAAAAGAAGAAGAAAAGAAAGAAAAAGGAAAAAGAACAGAAAAUAAAAGAAAAGAGAAAAAACACGAUAACAAAACAGCAAAACAAGAAAAUAAAAGGCAGAAACAAAAGAGAAGAGUGAGAAGAAAGAGGAAAGAGAAAACCACAACGAAAACAAAGCAAUUUCUGGGAUGAACUACGUUUGACCUGAUUCCUUUUAAGAGUACAUAGGCAGCCUCACAGUUCGGUCUCGUUAAAGUAAAAUCCAAAAGUCCCCAAGCAAGAAGCUGGGGCAGAAGUUGUGGUUGUUUUAGGAAAUCUGAUUCUGAAAGUUGUAAUUUUGAAUCCAUUUCGAAUGUUUUGAGCUCUAUUAACCUUUCUUUCUAACCCUAUCCAAAAGCCUGCAUUGCGGUCCAAAGAGACCUUCUAAUCAGUCUUCAAGAAAUGCCAAGUCAAGAUUCGUAUCAGAGGCAACACCCUGGGCCAAGAAGGAAGGAAAUGAAAAAUGAUAGAGUCUUAUCGGUGAAAACCUUCAAAGGCACCAUAAGGCGACGGUGAGUUGAGAGAAAGACCAAAAUGAGAGAGGCUUGAUGGUGAAAACCCUACGGGCACUACAAGCCGAAUAUGAAUUGAGAAUCAGACGGGAAAUCACCAGAUGGAGAUUGUGAAAUAUCACUAACAACAGAGUAUCAAAGCCUAGUUUCAUGGUAUAACAGGAGCCGAACAUCAUAUUUGCUUGAAAGGAUAGACGAGAUAUGCAUGUCAUGGUCAUUAGAGUUAGUAUCCACAUCCGAUAGGUUUCUACUUUGUAGCUCUCUUGUUCGGAAUCAUCUUUUUCCAUUCUUUUUUCUUGUUUACUUCCUCUUCUUGAGUAUGUUGGGUUAAAACAAGUGAGAAAUGACUUCAAAAUUUGCCACUAGCUUACCAAUUGCACAAAACGGGAUCUGGUGGACACAUCAAAGCAUGAUAAGUCAGGAAAGAGCAGCAGGCACACCGAGUUGGAAAUAAUCAAUAGGAUUUGGGAUCCUUGUGAAAUGCCAAGGCUUGUAUAUAUCAAUUCAUGAACAAUGCAACAGAUCAAGGGUUAGAACGGACAGACUAAAGGUAUCUUCUAUGAGACGGUAGACAAAAAGGGUGGUUAACCAAUGACAAUCAAGACCUUUCAAAUAUAAAUCUAAGUUGUCAUGGAAAAUGAGGGAGCUAUCUCAAGGACAAGACCAGUGGUUUAAGUCAAGAAAGAACAACAUACACAUUGNNNNNNNNNNNNNNNNNNNNNNNNNNNNNNNNNNNNNNNNNNNNNNNNNNNNNNNNNNNNNNNNNNNNNNNNNNNNNNNNNNNNNNNNNGGGGGGGGGGGGGGGGGGGGGAAUUGACGUGAUUUAGGGUCAUGAAGACACAAAGGUGGGAAAAUGUUAGUUCAGGAGAAAUGUAACAGAUAGAAGGUAUUAGGUUAAAUGUAGAAGAAGUAUUUUUUGUGCUAAGGGUGGCAAAGGACGUGAAUAGUCAAGGAACAAGCAAGGUCUUCGAAUGGAAAUCAGUCAUCAUUGGAAGUGAAGAAGCAAUUGCCUUCAAAGUUCAAGACAACAAACCAACCUCCACGUUUUUAAACUGAUGAGAUUUUCUUUGAUUAAAACAUGGGCAGAAAUUUCAGAGGUCUCGGAGAAAGUAUUCCAUUGAAAAAGCAAGCACCUAGCAGGCAUGGCCACAAACUUUAAUUGUCGAUCCCCUGGAUAAUAGAGUGUAACUUUAAUUACUGAUCCCUCACAGAAACAACCGAGAGCUGAAAUUGGCAUUUAAUUUGAAAUUCUCAAAACCCUUCUAGAUAAUGGGACGCAGCUCUAAAUACUAAUCCCCAGCAGACAUGAUUUGGAUUUAAAAUUGGUCGUAAUUAAAAGUUGUCAGGGCCCUCCCGGAUAAUGAGAUGUCGCUUUAAUUACUGGUCUCCAGCAGAUAUAACUUAGCUUCCCUCUUAGAUAAUAGGGUAUAGCUUUCAAAUUUUAGAGAUAUUUUGUAAUGAGAUUUGAUUAAGACUCACAAAUUCACCCAGCACCACACAGGGGUAGGAAAAAUUUCUUUUGUUUUGUUUGUUUUGUUAUAAUCAGAUACAAAGGUAGCAGUCCCAAGGGAGUUUUUGUAAUUAGGCGCUCAACUGUAGAAUAAGGGAAUACGUUUCAAGUUUUUGAUCAGGCGCCCACCUGGAGAACAAAGGAAUACAUUUCAAGUUUUGGCAAUUAGGCGCCCACCUGGAGAACAAGGGAAUACAUUUCAAGUUUCAAGUUUUGGUAAUCAGGCGCCCGCCUGAAAAACAAGGGAAUACAUUUCAAGUUUCGAGUUUUGGCAAUCAGGCACCCACCCAGAGAACAGGGGAAUACAUUUUAGUUUUGUUCAAGUUUUGGCAAUCAGGAGCCCACCUGAAGAACAAGGGAAUAUAUUUUGAAUUUUAGUAAUCAGGCGCCCACUUGGAGAACAAGGGAGUAUAGCUUAAGUUCAAUCAUCAGGCAUCAACAUGGAGAAAGAGAAACAUAGCAACAAGGCAACAAGGAGUUUCACAGUAAGAAAUACAAGUUAACAAGGCAACAAGAAGUUUCACAGCGAGAUAUACAAGGCAACAAGGAUCGAGAGCAAGUUUGAAGACAUAGAUAGGUUCUUUUUUAAUCCAUAGGUCAUAGCCUAGUCUAGCUUCUUUAGUUUUGCAUGGUAUAAUAAGGGGAUCUAACAAGCAGUAGCAGCAGAAACAACAGUGAGAUCACAGCUUCGGUAGUCCCAGCUACCAAACACUCUUGAACUACACUGACCUAAUUCCUUUUUAGCCAAGGAUAUGUAGGCAACCUUUGAAGUAAGGUGCGGUCAAACUUUUCAACAAAAUGCUUCACACGGAGUACUCGAACGGGCAAAAAUCAUUCAUGUCCGCUCACUUAUCUUUAAAUAAAAACUCUUCGUGUUUCCGGAAAAAGAGGAGAAGCUGUGAGCAUGUGAUUUUUUCCCGACAUGAAUUACUCCUAUAAAUUCAAACAAAAUCAUUUCUUUUAUUUGUCUGCAAUUUUGUGGAUUUUGCGGCAUUUUUUGUUAAUUAUUUACAUUUUAUUUGUGCAUUUUAAUUAGUAAAAAAUACAAAAAUAUGUUGCAUGUGUAGUUAGGAGUUAAUUUCAUAUUUAAAAUUAUUCAGUAAUCAAGUUGUUUUAUAAAAAUAAAAAAAUAAAAAAAUUGCUUAAUUUGCUCUUUUAAUUUUAAUUUUUAAGUGGUUUUGCUUUUAAUUUAAUUUUAAUUAUUUAUGAUAAUAAUUAUGUAGGAUUGAUUAGCAUUUCAUAGGUAAAUUUGAGAUUUGUAAUUAAUUUAGGAUUUUUAGUAAUUUUUGAAAAUGAAAAAUGAAAAACAAAUGAAUAGAAAUCUGAAAAUUUAAAAAAGAGAAGACCCAAAUUGAGCCAUUUUGAAUUAAACCCCAGUCGAAAUAAACCCACCCAAACCAGUCUAGCCCAACCCAACCCGGUCUAGCCUUAUUUAUAACAAAACGACUUCAUUUUGGGCAAUUAAAUCCUAGCCGUCUAGGUUCUUAGAUCCUACGGUCUAGAAGCCCACACCCCUUUGAUACAUAUAUGUCCAAACCCCGCCCCACCCCCAAAGACCGCCAUCUCUAACCUUUCUCAUCAGAACCCCUAGAGCCUCCCGUCACCGCCUUUACCACCGUGCACCAUUGGCCGGAAAUCGCCUCCGCCGACGGGGAGCUCCAAAUCACACAAAAUUAACAACACUUAACCAACUUCCUCUCCUAUUUCAAAAUCCAUGCCCCGCUUUCCUUGAAUACCACCCCAUCUCAUCCAAUAUUAGUUUGAAAUACCGGUUCCUCCGUGGUGUACGGCGGCGCGCCACCCAACCACUCCCAAACUUACACCAAAUGACCCUUGCCUCUCCCUCCUUAAAUCUGCACUUAACAUCCCCAAAAAACUCUUGGAUCUUCAUAGAUACGAACUCGAAAGAGGCUGUUGACUUCACAAUCACCAAAUUGACCCAGAAUCGUACCUAAACCAUGGUACAUGUAGAGAAAUUAAGCUACGUUUUCUCAUUUUCUUUUCUAGAUUUCCUUUUUCCCAUCUCUUCUGUUAAUUUGGUUCAAGGUUAGGGUUAGGUCAUAUAAUUCAAAUUAGGAUGGUUUGAAUCUCAUUCCUGAGUUUAAUUUUAGUUGUGUUCAAUCCUGUUUAGUUUUCAUAUCUUGUUGUAAUUCAAACUAAGUUUCAGUAGGAUUAAAAUUAGUGAGGUUAGUCAAUGUUGGUCAUCAUGUACGUUGAUUAUUAUUUCAAUGGUUUUCAGAGUUUAUGUUUUUGUGAAAUGAUCAAGUUUCUAGCAUUUUAAAUCCUAUAUAGUGUUCUUGUGGUAGACCAGGCUUUCAUGACUUAAUAUGAUUCACAGCUAUUAGGUGCAUUCUCAGUCUUGCCUUUUAUUUGUUUUGAUCCACGUGAAGGUAUUAUCUCGUUUAUCCUCCAUUUGUUGAUGUUUGUAGAUUUUCGGUACUUUAACAGGGGGAAUUGAAUGAUUUGAAACUUNNNNNNNNNNNNNNNNNNNNNNNNNNNNNNNNNNNNNNNNNNNNNNNNNNNNNNNNNNNNNNNNNNNNNNNNNNNNNNNNNNNNNNNNNNNNNNNNNNNNNNNNNNNNNNNNNNNNNNNNNNNNNNNNNNNNNNNNNNNNNNNNNNNNNNNNNNNNNNNNNNNNNNNNNNNNNNNNNNNNNNNNNNNNNNNNNNNNNNNNNNNNNNNNNNNNNNNNNNNNNNNNNNGGGGGGGGGGGGGAGGGGUAUUAUAGGACAAUACACCUAGGGAAUAUUUUGAUAACAAUAAUAGAAGCUUCUAGUAGGGGGUGCCUAGUUAAUUUCAAUGCUAAAACUUGGUCCACAAGUCAAAAACUAAAGGACUAAAAUAAAAAUAAAAAUAUAAGGGUGCCUUAGUUUGCUUGCCUAUAAAGGCAGCUCUUCUUGCCUUAGAAAAGGAGGACUUUAAGUAGUAAAAUUCUUAAAAAGGACUCUAAAGAGAGACUAAAAAGAUCAAAAAAACAAUAGGAAAAAAUACAAAAAAAAAUAUAGCUAAAAUAAUACUGGUCCAUUAAAUUUUUUUCUGAGAUCCUGGAGAUUUUCUUGGUUAAAACGAGUCUCUGAAUAUUCAGAAGUUGAAAAUGAGUUGAACUUGGUUUGAUGUUCAAGUAUUUGGGUUAGCUUUUGUUUGGAUUUUGAUGGCUGGUUUUACUGAUACAUUGUUGGUUCUAGUUUGGGUUUUAAGUUGAUCUUCCUCCGUUAUUCCUGGGGUAUUUAGCUGCUGAAACAUGUCCCUGCUACUACUACUACUAAGCUUGAUGUCUCACUUCUUCUUUGUUUCUCUCUUCUU
Molecule: long non-coding RNA, 13959 nt
Filed under: Nicotiana benthamiana
Lineage: Eukaryota; Viridiplantae; Streptophyta; Magnoliopsida; Solanales; Solanaceae
Description: long non-coding RNA (NBEN_LNC023668)
Source: RNAcentral